RNAcentral lists this ribosomal RNA (460 nucleotides) under uncultured bacterium. RNAcentral's name for it is "partial 16S ribosomal RNA". It matches the Rfam family "Bacterial small subunit ribosomal RNA", at positions 338 to 795 of the family's 1533-position model. The record is from RNAcentral.
CCUACGGGGUGCAGCAGUGAGGAAUAUUGGUCAAUGGGCGCGAGCCUGAACCAGCCAAGUCGCGUGAGGGAGGACGGCCCUACGGGUUGUAAACCUCUUUUGCCGGGGAGCAACGGGCGCCACGUGUGGCGCCACUGAGAGUACCCGGAGAAAAAGCAUCGGCUAACUCCGUGCCAGCAGCCGCGGUAAUACGGAGGAUGCGAGCGUUAUCCGGAUUUAUUGGGUUUAAAGGGUGCGUAGGCGGAGCGUUAAGUCAGGGGUCAAAUUGCGGGGCUCAACCCCUUCCCGCCAUUGAAACUGGCGUUCUUGAGUGGAAGAGAAGUAGGCGGAAUGCGUGGUGUAGCGGUGAAAUGCAUAGAUAUCACGCAGAACCCCGAUUGCGAAGGCAGCAUGCCGGCUUCCGACUGACGCUGAAGCACGAAAGCGUGGGGAUCGAACAGGAUUAGAUACCCCGGUAGUC